Molecule: ribosomal RNA, 254 nt
Filed under: uncultured bacterium
Lineage: Bacteria
Description: partial 16S ribosomal RNA
Rfam family: Bacterial small subunit ribosomal RNA
Source: RNAcentral
UACGGGGGGAGCAAGCGUUGUUCGGAUUUACUGGGCGUAAAGGGCGCGUAGGCGGCCAGCACAAGUCAGUUGUGAAAUCUCCGGGCUUAACUCGGAAAGGUCAACUGAUACUGUGCGGCUAGAGUGCAGAAGGGGCAACUGGAAUUCUCGGUGUAGCGGUGAAAUGCGUAGAUAUCGUGAGGAAGACCAGUGGCGAAGGCGGGUCUCUGGACAGUUCCUGACGCUGAGGCGCGAAGGCCAGGGGAGCAAACGGG